RNAcentral lists this long non-coding RNA (684 nucleotides) under Olea europaea subsp. europaea. Lineage: Eukaryota; Viridiplantae; Streptophyta; Magnoliopsida; Lamiales; Oleaceae. The record is from RNAcentral.
UGGCCCAGCAAGAUUCUUUUAUGUUUGCCUCAUAAAUAAUUGGGAGAAAUUUCUUCACAAAACUUGAUGAAUCAGCAGUAAUAAUAUGACUAUCCAUUACAUGAUCCAACAUCAAUGAAUCUUUAAUUUAGAGCAAAGCAUUUCAUCGAACAGUUUGCUUGCACUCUUACCAAUCGUAUUCCUCUGACAUGAGUGAGUUUUGUAGCCCAUCCACAACCUGAAAUGAGCUCCUCAUAAUAUUGGAAUCAAUAGAGAGCAGUAAAUAGAAAUUGAAAAUUGAUAAACGCAGCCCCAAGUGACUUUGUGUGGGCAUUAUUAAAAUAGGUUAUAGCCUCCAUAAAGUCCCAAAUUCAGUUUUGAAAUAGUAGUUGGAAUACCUCUAAAUUUGCAACAAGUGUGGCUGAAGGGAUGGAAAUUAAAAUUUAAUACCAUCUUUCUGAGACCGCAGUGCCGGUAUAUAGUCAUUUCACAUUCGUAUACAUUAUAAUUGGAAGAAGAAGUAAUCGCCUUGGCCCCAUCGAGAAUUAAAAGGAAAAAUUGUCCAUAAAUUGAAGUACACAACCUGGAAAACUAUAGCAUAAUGAGAAUCUAUAACCUAUAAGUCACUAAUUUUCUACAAUUGAAAGAGACGUCCCAUGCUGGAUAAAUGGAGGCCAAAAGAAUCUGUCAAAUGAAGAUGAUUGU